GACAAAAACCAGUCGUUCAAUGUGUCCUAUACUUGGGAAACUGACGAAAUAAGUGGCUUAAGGUUUAUAAAUGUCCUUAACAAAAAAGAUAAAAAGAAAUUGGGAUUCCAAUGCAUUUAUUGUAGAGAUAAACAACUUUUUAAAAAGAAAAGCAGUGUGUUAUAUCACAUGGUUACAUUUAACCAUGGUUUAAAAUCAAGCAUCGUUGAAGAAUUAAAACUUAUAGACAAAGAUAAAGACAACCGACUAAAUUUUAUUAAUAAUUUCAAUAUACAAAAAUGUGCAGAAAGAGAAAGGGGUAACGAAAACGAAAAAGAAGUUAAGAAAGAAUAUUUGAGUGAUGAUAAUUUAAUUAAGCUUGAAAUAGAAUUUGUUUCUACUUUAAAUCUAUUAACUCUUGAUGAAUUAAAAACGCUACAUUUUUUUUUUUUUCCUGAAAAUUUAUUGUUAAUUAAUGAGCAUGUGAAUAAAGAAAGUAUAAUUGAAAGUUUUAUAUUAAGUAUAAAUUUAAUUUCAAAUAAAUAUUCCCAAACGAUUAAAAAUGCAUACAGUGAGCACACUUUUAAACAGAAUGCCAAGCUAAUUACAUUAGAUGAAUACUUGAAUGAGUUAAAAGGGUCAGUAGAAGUAGAAAUUAAUUUAGAACCCGUAGAAAACGAAGAAAAUGAAAUGAUAACUACUAUUAACAUAACAGAUAAAGAAAAUCAGAAUAGUAAUGAAAAUGAUGGUGCAAAUAAUGGAGUUAAUAAUACAAACUCUGCAACAAAUUAUGCAAGCAUAGUUAUAAACGAAAAUGAAGAAAAAAAUAAAAUUGAGGUAUUGAAAAAUAUAAGAGGUGCUAUAGAACAAAGUGAACAGGGGGAAGUAAAACAAAACGCUAAUAAUACCAAUAAUAACAAUAAUACCAAUAAUAAUAAUAAUAAUAAUAACAAUAAUAAUAAUAAUAAUAACAAUAAUAAUAAUAAUAAUAAUAACAAUAAUAACAAUAAUAAUAAUAACAAUAAUAAUAACAAUAAUAACAAUAAUAAUAAUAAUAAUAAUAAUAAUAAUAAUAACAAUAAUAAUAAUAAUAACAAUAAUAAUAAUGAUACUGCUAGUGAAAAACAGGUAAACCAAUUAAAUCAAACAUGUGGGACUGAGCAAGGAACACCAAGUGUUACAACAAAUGUAAACACCAGCACAAAUACCACAAUCACUAACGCAAACAUCAACACAAACACAACCAGCAUAAACACUAAUGUGACAACUGCAGAAACAACAUACCCACUAAACCAUACAAUGAUAAAUUUAAAAGAUUGCCACCAUACUAACCACAGUGAUGAUUUAUUCAUAAGUUUGACUGAAUCUAGGCAAACAAACGAAGACAAACAAAAUAGAGAAAGAGAAAGAGAAAAAGAAUAUAAUAUAUAUAAUAAUCCCGUGAAUAAUAACCCUAUAAAUAAUACCCAUAUGAAUGACAAUCUUAUAAAUAUUAAAAAAUCAAAUAAUGUUGAUGCGAACAUAAACACAAGUAAUCCCAAUACAGUGGAUGUAAAUAAGAAUAAUAAUCAAAAUGAUAUGUAUUAUGAUAUGAGUAAAGAAAAAUUAAUACACAUUUUAUUAAGUAUGAAUAAAAAGCGUAGAAAAUAUGUUAGAAGAACAGACAAUAAUAAUAAACAAAAUAUUUCUAAUGUUAAAAGAGCAAGAACAAAUGAUAAGGAAAAUAUGCUAACAAUCCCAGACUUAAAUGAUAAUGCUAAAGGAAUGGAUUGUUUAACAAAAGAAACAGCUAAUGUAAUAAGUGUACCUUGUACAGACGUAAAUGUAGCUAGUUCAUGUACAAAAUUAUCUAAUGUAUGCAUAACCGAUAAUAGUAUAACAGAAAAAAUUAAUUCAAUAACAGGAGCUGAUGUGACAGAGCAAUUUAUAAUUGACCAAGACAUUAAAAAAGUAAACACACUAACAAACGAAAUAGAAUUAAUUAAAACUAAUUUAAAUGGAGGAAAUAAUGAAAUAAUUUUAAAUAAAGGUGUUCAGGAAUGUGAUAAUAAAAAUUGUAACGUAGAAGGUUGCGUUAUUAACAUGAACACUAAUUUAAAAGAGGUUCACAUAAAUAGCAAUCACAUGGGUGACAACACUAAUGAUAACAACAGCAACAACAGCAACAAUAGCAACAGUGGCAAUAGUAGCAACAGUGGCAAUAGUAUCAACAGUGGCAAUAGUAGCAACAGUAGCAACAGUAGCAACAGUGGCAACAGUGGCAACAGUGGCAACAGUGGCAACAGUGGCNNNNNNNNNNUGGCAAUAGUAUCAACAGUGGCAAUAGUAGCAACAGUGGCAAUAGUAGCAACAGUGGCAACAGUGGUAACAGUAACAACAUUAACAACAUUAGCAAGAACAAUAUUAUGCAGGAAAAUGAAAAUGGUUAUACUAAUAAUAUAUUAAUAUGUAGAAACCAUAAUGAAAGAGAUAAUGAUAAGCAGAGUGAAGUGGUAAUAAAUAUUUGUAGCGUAAGUAAACCUAAAAAAAA
Piliocolobus tephrosceles (Ugandan red Colobus) is the source of this 2509-nucleotide long non-coding RNA. Lineage: Eukaryota; Metazoa; Chordata; Mammalia; Primates; Cercopithecidae. The record is from Ensembl.